RNAcentral lists this ribosomal RNA (254 nucleotides) under uncultured bacterium. RNAcentral's name for it is "partial 16S ribosomal RNA". It matches the Rfam family "Bacterial small subunit ribosomal RNA", at positions 524 to 776 of the family's 1533-position model. The record is from RNAcentral.
UACGGGGGGUGCAAGCGUUGUUCGGAUUUACUGGGCGUAAAGGGCGCGUAGGCGGCCACCGCAAGUCAAUUGUGAAAUCUCCGGGCUUAACUCGGAAAGGUCAACUGAUACUGCGGGGCUAGAGUGCGGAAGGGGCAACUGGAAUUCUCGGUGUAGCGGUGAAAUGCGUAGAUAUCGAGAGGAACACCUGCGGCGAAGGCGGGUUGCUGGGCCGACACUGACGCUGAGGCGCGAAAGCCAGGGGAGCGAACGGG